Molecule: non-coding RNA, 158 nt
Filed under: Nippostrongylus brasiliensis
Lineage: Eukaryota; Metazoa; Nematoda; Chromadorea; Rhabditida; Heligmosomidae
Description: Eukaryotic large subunit ribosomal RNA
Rfam family: Eukaryotic large subunit ribosomal RNA
Source: Rfam by way of RNAcentral
GACAACUAACCUGCGGUAGAUAGUAGUCAAUAGUGACGCUGCUUUUUAGACCUACGAUUUCGGCUCUUCCUAUGAUUGCAAAGCAGAAUUCCCAUGAUUGGAUUGUUCAUUCACUAAUAGGGAACGUGAGCUGAGUUUAGACCGUGGUGAGACAGGGC